GAAGGUGGAAGAAUGAGACCUCCCUUGGGGUGAGGCAGAGGAGGAGGGAAAUCCAUGGACACAUCAGAUGGAAGGUCUCCACCUCUACUGUCCUGGUAGUCAUGGCACUGAUCCUUCCAUCGCUGAAGUCUGCAACUGAAGUGAGACCAAGUGAGGAGUGCAGUGCCUUACAGAAGAUAUCUUACGAUUUAACCUUGGAUCCCCAUUACAGAACAAGCUUGAAAACUGGACUGAGACCAUGAUUACUUUGGAAAGUUCCUGAAUAGAGAUGUUUUCCUGGGUGUAAGUCUGACCCUUUAUAAAUAAUAUAUGCCUGAAACAAACAAUUAUGCUCCAACUUUGUAUUGCUGUAGUCAAGCCUCCACUUAUUUACCCAUUUUACUUCAAACUAAUUUGUUGGCUGUUCUCCAUUUGAAAUCAAGGGCCAACAGUAAUCUCUACUGAGGUGUUCAUAAAUGUUUGCUGACA
Molecule: long non-coding RNA, 468 nt
Organism: Gymnogyps californianus (California condor)
Lineage: Eukaryota; Metazoa; Chordata; Aves; Accipitriformes; Cathartidae
Exons: 2
Source: RefSeq, a predicted model, not a curated record